CCUCGGGGGGCUGCAGUGGGGAAUAUUGGACAAUGGGCGAAAGCCUGAUCCAGCCAUGCCGCGUGUGUGAAGAAGGCCUUCGGGUUGUAAAGCACUUUCAGUGGGGAAGAAAGCCUUGGGGCUAAUACCCUCGAGGAAGGACAUCACCCACAGAAGAAGCACCGGCUAACUCCGUGCCAGCAGCCGCGGUAAUACGGAGGGUGCGAGCGUUAAUCGGAAUUACUGGGCGUAAAGCGCGCGUAGGCGGUCUGAUAAGCCGGUUGUGAAAGCCCCGGGCUCAACCUGGGAACGGCAUCCGGAACUGUCAGGCUAGAGUGCAGGAGAGGAAGGUAGAAUUCCCGGUGUAGCGGUGAAAUGCGUAGAGAUCGGGAGGAAUACCAGUGGCGAAGGCGGCCUUCUGGACUGACACUGACGCUGAGGUGCGAAAGCGUGGGUAGCAAACAGGAUUAGAUACCCGUGUAUC
This 463-nucleotide ribosomal RNA is filed under the name Vreelandella stevensii. RNAcentral's name for it is "partial 16S ribosomal RNA". It matches the Rfam family "Bacterial small subunit ribosomal RNA", at positions 339 to 794 of the family's 1533-position model. Lineage: Bacteria; Pseudomonadati; Pseudomonadota; Gammaproteobacteria; Oceanospirillales; Halomonadaceae. The record is from RNAcentral.